This 740-nucleotide ribosomal RNA is filed under the name uncultured bacterium. RNAcentral describes it as "bacterial SSU rRNA". It matches the Rfam family "Bacterial small subunit ribosomal RNA", at positions 8 to 796 of the family's 1533-position model. The record is from RNAcentral.
AGAGUUUGAUCAUGGCUCAGAGCGAACGCUGGCGGCAGGCCUAAUACAUGCAAGUCGAGCGGCCCUUCGGGGCAGCGGCGGACGGGUGAGUAACGCGUGGGAAUGUGCCCUUUGGUACGGAACAACUGAGGGAAACUUCAGCUAAUACCGUAUGUGCCCUUCGGGGGAAAGAUUUAUCGCCAUUGGAGCAGCCCGCGUUGGAUUAGGUAGUUGGUGAGGUAAAGGCUCACCAAGCCUACGAUCCAUAGCUGGUCUGAGAGGAUGAUCGGCCACACUGGGACUGAGACACGGCCCAGACUCCUACGGGAGGCAGCAGUAGGGAAUCUUGCGCAAUGGGCGAAAGCCUGACGCAGCCAUGCCGCGUGAAUGAUGAAGGUCUUAGGAUUGUAAAAUUCUUUCACCGGGGAAGAUAAUGACGGUACCCGGAGAAGAAGCCCCGGCUAACUUCGUGCCAGCAGCCGCGGUAAUACGAAGGGGGCUAGCGUUGCUCGGAAUUACUGGGCGUAAAGGGCGCGUAGGCGGAUAGUUUAGUCAGAGGUGAAAGCCCAGGGCUCAACCUUGGAACUGCCUUUGAUACUGGCUAUCUUGAGUUCGGGAGAGGUGAGUGGAAUGCCGAGUGUAGAGGUGAAAUUCGUAGAUAUUCGGCGGAACACCAGUGGCGAAGGCGACUCACUGGCCCGAUACUGACGCUGAGGCGCGAAAGCGUGGGGAGCAAACAGGAUUAGAUACCCUAGUAGUCC